This 410-nucleotide ribosomal RNA is filed under the name Verrucomicrobiota bacterium. Its description in RNAcentral is "Verrucomicrobia bacterium partial 16S ribosomal RNA". It matches the Rfam family "Bacterial small subunit ribosomal RNA", at positions 355 to 776 of the family's 1533-position model. The record is from RNAcentral. Lineage: Bacteria; Pseudomonadati; Verrucomicrobiota.
UGGGGAAUAUUGCACAAUGGGCGCAAGCCUGAUGCAGCGACGCCGCGUGGGGGAUGACGGCCUUCGGGUUGUAAACUCCUUUCGCUAGGGACGAAGCUUUUUGUGACGGUACCUAGAUAAGAAGCACCGGCUAACUACGUGCCAGCAGCCGCGGUAAUACGUAGGGUGCGAGCGUUGUCCGGAAUUACUGGGCGUAAAGAGCUUGUAGGCGGUUCGUCGCGUCUGGUGUGAAAGCCCAUCGCUUAACGGUGGGUUUGCGCCGGGUACGGGCGGGCUAGAGUGCAGUAGGGGAGACUGGAAUUCCCGGUGUAACGGUGGAAUGUGUAGAUAUCGGGAAGAACACCAAUGGCGAAGGCAGGUCUCUGGGCUGUUACUGACGCUGAGAAGCGAAAGCGUGGGGAGCGAACAGG